This 1404-nucleotide ribosomal RNA is filed under the name Klebsiella sp. RNAcentral describes it as "bacterial SSU rRNA". It matches the Rfam family "Bacterial small subunit ribosomal RNA". The record is from RNAcentral. Lineage: Bacteria; Pseudomonadati; Pseudomonadota; Gammaproteobacteria; Enterobacterales; Enterobacteriaceae.
CAUGCAAGUCGAGCGGUAGCACAGAGAGCUUGCUCUCGGGUGACGAGCGGCGGACGGGUGAGUAAUGUCUGGGAAACUGCCUGAUGGAGGGGGAUAACUACUGGAAACGGUAGCUAAUACCGCAUAACGUCGCAAGACCAAAGUGGGGGACCUUCGGGCCUCAUGCCAUCAGAUGUGCCCAGAUGGGAUUAGCUGGUAGGUGGGGUAACGGCUCACCUAGGCGACGAUCCCUAGCUGGUCUGAGAGGAUGACCAGCCACACUGGAACUGAGACACGGUCCAGACUCCUACGGGAGGCAGCAGUGGGGAAUAUUGCACAAUGGGCGCAAGCCUGAUGCAGCCAUGCCGCGUGUGUGAAGAAGGCCUUCGGGUUGUAAAGCACUUUCAGCGGGGAGGAAGGCGGUGAGGUUAAUAACCUCAUCGAUUGACGUUACCCGCAGAAGAAGCACCGGCUAACUCCGUGCCAGCAGCCGCGGUAAUACGGAGGGUGCAAGCGUUAAUCGGAAUUACUGGGCGUAAAGCGCACGCAGGCGGUCUGUCAAGUCGGAUGUGAAAUCCCCGGGCUCAACCUGGGAACUGCAUUCGAAACUGGCAGGCUAGAGUCUUGUAGAGGGGGGUAGAAUUCCAGGUGUAGCGGUGAAAUGCGUAGAGAUCUGGAGGAAUACCGGUGGCGAAGGCGGCCCCCUGGACAAAGACUGACGCUCAGGUGCGAAAGCGUGGGGAGCAAACAGGAUUAGAUACCCUGGUAGUCCACGCUGUAAACGAUGUCGAUUUGGAGGUUGUGCCCUUGAGGCGUGGCUUCCGGAGCUAACGCGUUAAAUCGACCGCCUGGGGAGUACGGCCGCAAGGUUAAAACUCAAAUGAAUUGACGGGGGCCCGCACAAGCGGUGGAGCAUGUGGUUUAAUUCGAUGCAACGCGAAGAACCUUACCUGGUCUUGACAUCCACAGAACUUUCCAGAGAUGGAUUGGUGCCUUCGGGAACUGUGAGACAGGUGCUGCAUGGCUGUCGUCAGCUCGUGUUGUGAAAUGUUGGGUUAAGUCCCGCAACGAGCGCAACCCUUAUCCUUUGUUGCCAGCGGUUAGGCCGGGAACUCAAAGGAGACUGCCAGUGAUAAACUGGAGGAAGGUGGGGAUGACGUCAAGUCAUCAUGGCCCUUACGACCAGGGCUACACACGUGCUACAAUGGCAUAUACAAAGAGAAGCGACCUCGCGAGAGCAAGCGGACCUCAUAAAGUAUGUCGUAGUCCGGAUUGGAGUCUGCAACUCGACUCCAUGAAGUCGGAAUCGCUAGUAAUCGUAGAUCAGAAUGCUACGGUGAAUACGUUCCCGGGCCUUGUACACACCGCCCGUCACACCAUGGGAGUGGGUUGCAAAAGAAGUAGGUAGCUUAACCUUCGGGAGGG